Molecule: long non-coding RNA, 514 nt
Filed under: Homo sapiens (human)
Lineage: Eukaryota; Metazoa; Chordata; Mammalia; Primates; Hominidae
Description: non-protein coding lnc-TBC1D31-4:1
Source: RNAcentral
CGUCGCCGCCGCGGCUCCCGAAAAUGUGUUGUUAAUGGGACUUGGCCGGGACUUGUAUCCUCGGCUUUGCAAACUUGCCCUUUUCCCAGCCGCUUUGCAGGAGGCUGCGGAGACGAAGAUGAGCGGAAAGUUGGAAACCAGCAGGCAUCACAGGACGGUCCCUUUGGCCUCGUAGCUGUGCUGAGCCUGGGAGGCGGAGGAGGAGGUGGAGGCGGCGGCGGAGGAGGCCAGGUUUGCUGUCAGCUAAAGGAUGCACCUGAAGAUUGUGCUUCAGGGGAAAAUGCAAGAAACCAAGAUUCUGGGGCACAUCAGCUAUCUCAACUAAUGUCCAUUUGAAGGGGGAAAACACCACUGUUUGUUGGCACUGAAGAAAGGGUAUUCCUGUGAUCUCCCCCAAACCACCCCUCCUCAAAAAGAGGCCAUUGUAAAGCCUCUAUCAGUGUCUCCAAGAGAACAUUCUCCAGGGGCAUUGCGCCCUCCGCCCUCUCCUCCUCGGAUCUGGAGAGAAGGAAUC